This 216-nucleotide ribosomal RNA is filed under the name uncultured bacterium. RNAcentral's name for it is "partial 16S ribosomal RNA". It matches the Rfam family "Bacterial small subunit ribosomal RNA", at positions 118 to 351 of the family's 1533-position model. The record is from RNAcentral.
UGGGAACAUACCUUUUGGUUCGGAACAACACAGGGAAACUUGUACUAAUACCGGAUAAGCCCUUACGGGGAAAGAUUUAUCGCCGAAAGAUUGGCCCGCGUCUGAUUAGCUAGUUGGUGAGGUAAUAGCUCACCAAGGCGACGAUCAGUAGCUGGUCUGAGAGGGUGAUCAGCCACAUUGGGACUGAGACACGGCCCAGACUCCUACGGGAGGCAG